GCGGACGGCGCUGAAGCCAGUCGAAGAUACCAGCUGGCUGCAACUGUUUAUUAAAAACACAGCACUGUGCAAACACGAAAGUGGACGUAUACGGUGUGACGCCUGCCCGGUGCUGGAAGGUUAAUUGAUGGGGUUAGCGCAAGCGAAGCUCCUGAUCGAAGCCCCAGUAAACGGCGGCCGUAACUAUAACGGUCCUAAGGUAGCGAAAUUCCUUGUCGGGUAAGUUCCGACCUGCACGAAUGGCGUAAUGAUGGCCAGGCUGUCUCCACCCGAGACUCAGUGAAAUUGAACUCGCUGUGAAGAUGCAGUGUACCCGCGGCAAGACGGAAAGACCCCGUGAACCUUUACUAUAGCUUGACACUGAACAUUGAGCCUUGAUGUGUAGGAUAGGUGGGAGGCUUUGAAGUGUGGACGCCAGUCUGCAUGGAGCCAACCUUGAAAUACCACCCUUUAACGUUUGAUGUUCUAACCUAGGCCCAUAAACUGGGUCGGGGACCGUGUCUGGUGGGUAGUUUGACUGGGGCGGUCUCCUCCUAAAGAGUAACGGAGGAGCACGAAGGUUGGCUAAGCAUGGUCGGACAUCAUGCGGUUAGUGCAAAGGCAUAAGCCAGCUUGACUGCGAGAGUGACGGCUCGAGCAGGUACGAAAGUAGGUCUUAGUGAUCCGGUGGUUCUGAAUGGAAGGGCCAUCGCUCAACGGAUAAAAGGUACUCCGGGGAUAACAGGCUGAUACCGCCCAAGAGUUCAUAUCGACGGCGGUGUUUGGCACCUCGAUGUCGGCUCAUCACAUCCUGGGGCUGAAGUAGGUCCCAAGGGUAUGGCUGUUCGCCAUUUAAAGUGGUACGCGAGCUGGGUUUAGAACGUCGUGAGACAGUUCGGUCCCUAUCUGCCGUGGGCGUUGGAAGAUUGAGAGGGGUUGCUCCUAGUACGAGAGGACCGGAGUGAACGCACCACUGGUGUUCGGGUUGUCAUGCCAAUGGCAUUGCCCGGUAGCUAAGUGCGGAAGAGAUAACCGCUGAAAGCAUCUAAGCGGGAAACUUGCCUCGAGAUGAGUCUUCCCUGUCGCUUUAAGCGACCUAAAGGAACGUUUAAGACUAAGACGUUGAUAGGCUGGGUGUGUAAGCGUAGCGAUACGUUGAGCUAACCAGUACUAAUGAACCGUGAGGCUUAACCUGACAACACCGAAAGUGUUUUG
This 1194-nucleotide ribosomal RNA is filed under the name Proteus mirabilis. RNAcentral's name for it is "bacterial LSU rRNA". It matches the Rfam family "Bacterial large subunit ribosomal RNA", at positions 1757 to 2925 of the family's 2925-position model. The record is from RNAcentral. Lineage: Bacteria; Pseudomonadati; Pseudomonadota; Gammaproteobacteria; Enterobacterales; Morganellaceae.